This 336-nucleotide unclassified non-coding RNA is filed under the name soil metagenome. RNAcentral's name for it is "partial contains 5.8S ribosomal RNA, internal transcribed spacer 2, and large subunit ribosomal RNA". The stretch from base 1 to 120 matches the Rfam family "5.8S ribosomal RNA", at positions 35 to 154 of the family's 154-position model. The record is from RNAcentral.
GAUGAAGAACGUAGCGAAAUGCGAUAAGUAAUGCGAAUUGCAGAAUUCAGUGAAUCAUCGAAUCUUUGAACGCACAUUGCGCCCGCUAGUAUUCUGGCGGGCAUGCCUGUCCGAGCGUCAUUUCAACCCAUCAAGCUUAGCGCUUGUGUUGGAGCCCUGCGGCCGCCGCAGCCUCCUAAAAUCAGUGGCGGGCUCGCUAUCACGCUGAGUGCAGUAGUAUUCUUCUCACUCCUGUGGUGUAGCGGGUAACCAGCCGUAAACCCCCCCAUCUAUAAAGGUUGACCUCGGAUCAGGUAGGAAUACCCGCUGAACUUAAGCAUAUCAAUAAGCGGAGGA